GGUUCUAUGGUGUAAUGGUUAGCCCUCUGGACUCUAUAUCAAGUGAUCUGAGUUCAAAUAUCAGUAAGACCU
This 72-nucleotide transfer RNA is filed under the name Danionella translucida. It matches the Rfam family "tRNA". From Rfam's summary of the family: Transfer RNA (tRNA) molecules are approximately 80 nucleotides in length. The record is from Rfam by way of RNAcentral. RNAcentral also lists the same sequence under 1 other name. Lineage: Eukaryota; Metazoa; Chordata; Actinopteri; Cypriniformes; Danionidae.